RNAcentral lists this unclassified non-coding RNA (306 nucleotides) under Hevea brasiliensis (rubber tree). Lineage: Eukaryota; Viridiplantae; Streptophyta; Magnoliopsida; Malpighiales; Euphorbiaceae. The record is from RNAcentral.
CCCUCGUUCAAACUAUUUUUUUUUUUUUCAAAUGUUAAACUAACAUUGAAUGGCAAUGAAGCCAUACAGGCAGUAUCCAAAAAUAAAUGUGGAAUGCUAAGGGCACGAUAGAAAAUGAUGAUAGCUAAGCCAAGCAUUUCAUCAAGUGCAGGGAGCUCGGCCAGCAAAGCAGAAAGAACCGACUGCGAGGGCCCUUUGUCAUAUAUUGGUUUUCACAAACACCCUCUCACUUCGUUCUAGAGGAAGAAAUAUUGGACUAGUCGAAGGAUUCAGACAAUGCAUAUCUCACUUUCUGUUCUUGCUCUC